GCAUUGAUGAAGAGUCCCAAAAGCUAGGACGAAACAGUCGUCCAAUGC
Molecule: non-coding RNA, 48 nt
Filed under: Trichobilharzia regenti
Lineage: Eukaryota; Metazoa; Platyhelminthes; Trematoda; Strigeidida; Schistosomatidae
Source: RNAcentral